This 468-nucleotide ribosomal RNA is filed under the name uncultured bacterium. Its description in RNAcentral is "partial 16S ribosomal RNA". It matches the Rfam family "Bacterial small subunit ribosomal RNA", at positions 28 to 507 of the family's 1533-position model. The record is from RNAcentral.
GACGAACGCUGGCGGCGUGCUUAACACAUGCAAGUCGAACGGAAAGGCCCUGCUUUUGUGGGGUGCUCGAGUGGCGAACGGGUGAGUAACACGUGAGUAACCUGCCCUUGACUUUGGGAUAUCUUCAGGAAACUGGGGCUAAUACCGGAUAGGAGCUCCUGCUGCAUGGUGGGGGUUGGAAAGUUUCGGCGGUUGGGGAUGGACUCGCGGCUUAUCAGCUUGUUGGUGGGGUAGUGGCUUACCAAGGCUUUGACGGGUAGCCGGCCUGAGAGGGUGACCGGCCACAUUGGGACUGAGAUACGGCCCAGACUCCUACGGGAGGCAGCAGUGGGGAUUAUUGCACAAUGGGCGGAAGCCUGAUGCAGCAACGCCGCGUGCGGGAUGACGGCCUUCGGGUUGUAAACCGCUUUCGCCUGUGACGAAGCGUGAGUGACGGUAAUGGGUAAAGAAGCACCGGCUAACUACGUG